AAUUCUAAUUUUUCUUCUUACAAAGGUUCAUAAAAAUUCGUUCAACAUUAUAACAUUAUUUGACUUAAAACAUGUGGAGAUAAUUUCAAGUUGAUCGUUACUUUCUUGAUAUAUUAUCUUUGGAUUUUCCUAUAUAUAAUUUCACCAUUAUUCUCUUGGUAUAUACACACAUAAAAAAAAAAAAAUAAUAACAUACAAAAUGGAGAGAGAAAAAGAAUGACCUUAAAUAGGGCCAACCAAAAAGCGAGGAAUGCCAACAUUAAGACUACGCUGGCCUGACUUAUCCAGAAAACGAAUAGCUCACCAUUCUUUACGACAUGAGAACUUUUCUCAUGGUGUUUGAUUGCGAGGAAAAACAUGUUUCGGUGUGGCCAUCUACCCAAGAGGCAAAAUCACUCACCGAGAGUUACUACUCUUUGACCGAAAAUGAAAGGAACAAGAGGGCUGUUGAUCCAGACUCAUUCAUCCAGGCCAAUAUCCAAAAGAUUGAGAAGAAAAUAGCCAAUACUAUGUAGGCUAUCGAAGAGUUGGAGAGGGAUCAUCUCUUGUCGGAACUCAAUCGUGGUCUUCAAGGUUUAUAAGUUUUAUAAAGAAUUCCAAAAAAUGGUUGAGAUUAAGUCUUUGGGAAACAAUGCGUUUGUUAUGGCUAUUGAUACUUGAUUCUCGGUUUCGGCACGUGAAUUUAAAAAAUGUCUUGAAAACUCUAUUUAAUUCACCAAUGUAAUGACAUAUGAUGGUAUUCAAGGUAGACAAUGUUAAUGGAAGUAGUAUUGAGACAAUGUCUGAGUUUUCUAAGGGUUGUUUCCAAAUAUUUAUUCCUAAUUUUCUCUUAAUCUUGUUUAGGUCAUAUCUACUUUCUUUGUAAUCCUAAAUAAAAAUUAAAAAGCCCUCUAUAAUUUCUCUUCACUUUUGUUUAGAUAAAGCGUAUAAUCAUGAAGAUGUAUAAUAUCAAGCACGAGUACUUCUAUUUGGUGACCAUACCUGUACCGGGGACCUUUUUGAAACGAGAACUCUAUAGGGAUUAUAUGGGGCCGUCUUUGGAGGAAAAUAACUUCGAAAUUUUGAUAGUUUCACUAAAUUCAUUUCAUUCCUAGCACUCUUAUGAUAAGCAUAUAUUUUUUUUUUGUUUUUCUACUUUUUAAAGGAUUUCCCCUCUUUACUUUUUUCUAUUAUUUUUUCUAAUCACUUUUCACUCUAGAUUUAUUUUUAAUUUUUUUAUUGAGUUACCCAUGCCGUAGCCAUAUCUAUUAAUUUUGAUCUUGCCAUUUUCUGUACCCGUUUCCGUACUCUUUUCUAGUUCUCGUACUCAGUUUAGUGCUACUUGAAACUCUUCAGUUGACAAUGAAAUGACUAUGCAGGGUCAUCAUCAGUUGGGUUUGUGUCCUUAUUGAUUGGUGAUGGGUGUAAGUGUCAUGGCAACAUCAUUCACAUUUUUGGGCAUUCUUUAGGAUGUGCUAUCGCCUCGUUACUGGGAAUUUGAGUAUUUUUCUAUUAAUAAAAGGUUGUAUACUUUCAUUGAACUUAACUUUCAUUUCUGAUUAUUUUCCUCUCUUUUUUUGUCAUGGUAGCUUCGUUGCAGAUUUCAUAAGCGAUAUGUAUAUGUUAUAUACCACUAGCGAGUUAAAAAAUAAAUACCUAAAACACAUGAUUAAUCUACUACAAUAAUGUUUUAGCGUNNNNNNNNNNNNNNNNNNNNNNNNNNNNNNNNNNNNNNNNNNNNNNNNNNNNNNNNNNNNNNNNNNNNNNNNNNNNNNNNNNNNNNNNNNNNNNNNNNNNUGUUCAGUAUUUAUCCUCUAUAUUGUCAUUCAGUUAUUUCAUCAUUCCAUUAAACAUACCACUUGGGCCUUAUGUAAAUUUAGUCAAUUUUAGUAUCAGAAAAAUCUACUCAUCUUUUGUUUUCGAAAGAGGAAAAAAAAAUCUUGUCAAUUCAUAACAAAUUUUCCAUACAAAGUGUGAAAAAUGAUAAUCAUGAAUGCUAUUAAUGGUAAAAAAUCCAAUGGAAUAAGAAAUGAAUAAAAUUUAUUUGCUAAUAUAUUCAAGAAAGUUGGAAGUUUAUCAAACGUUCCCAUUAUUAAUUGACUUGAUUAAAACAAACUAACAAAGCCCUCAAGGUCUUAUCUCUAAGAGAUGUCUCGUUGACACUCAUGGGAUCAAAAUCCAUCUCAAUCCUAAAAGACAUAACUUUUUUACCACCUUAUGAAAGAAAUUCAUUGGGCUUGGUUUUGCAUAGGUUAUCAAGUUCACAACCACAGUUGAUUUCCUACAUGAGAUGAUCUAUCUCCAAUUCCUUGAUAGCCUUCAGAGUAUCGGCUAUUUUCCUAUCAAUCUUUUUGAUACUUGUGAGGCUACUAAGGAGUUGGAGAUGAGCCGUCUGAUGUUGAACUCAACCGUGGUCAUGUACGUGCUAACCUUUGCGUAACCGAGAUUGAAAAAUUGCUAUCAUAUACUGCUAAGAAAGUUAUGUCUUUCAAGAAUGAGAUGGAUCUUGAUUCUAUAAAUGUCGACGAGGCUUAUCUUCGAGAUGCAGCCUUGAGGGCUUCCAAUGUUCCAUCUCCUGGGUGGCGGCGGAAUAGUUCUAACGUGAUUAAAACUGCAACGGUCUAUUAGUAUGAUAAUUGGGGGGUCUCUCAUGAGAUUCGUUUAUAUCAUAUCAAGACGCGGUAUCUACACGGAAAAAUUCUAAUUUUUCUUCUUACAAAGGUUCAUAAAAAUUCGUUCAACAUUAUAACAUUAUUUGACUUAAAACAUGUGGAGAUAAUUUCAAGUUGAUCGUUACUUUCUUGAUAUAUUAUCUUUGGAUUUUCCUAUAUAUAAUUUCACCAUUAUACUCUUGGUAUAUACACACAUAAAAAAAAAUAACAUACAAAAUGGAGAGAGAAAAAGAAUGACAUUGAAUAGGGCCAACCAAAAAGCGAGGAAUGCCAACAUUAAGACUACGCUGGCCUGACUUAUCCAGAAAACGAAUUAGCUCACCAUUCUUUACGACAUGAGAACUUUUCUCAUGGUGUUUGAUUGCGAGGAAAAACAUGUUUCGG
This 3035-nucleotide long non-coding RNA is filed under the name Capsella rubella. RNAcentral describes it as "long non-coding RNA (CRUB_LNC004228)". The record is from RNAcentral. Lineage: Eukaryota; Viridiplantae; Streptophyta; Magnoliopsida; Brassicales; Brassicaceae.